This 857-nucleotide ribosomal RNA is filed under the name uncultured bacterium. RNAcentral's name for it is "bacterial SSU rRNA". It matches the Rfam family "Bacterial small subunit ribosomal RNA", at positions 112 to 952 of the family's 1533-position model. The record is from RNAcentral.
AACGCGUGGGGAAUCUGCCUUUGAGCGGGGGACAACAUUUGGAAACGAAUGCUAAUACCGCAUAACAACUUUAAACACAAGUUUUAAGUUUGAAAGAUGCAAUUGCAUCACUCAAAGAUGAUCCCGCGUUGUAUUAGCUAGUUGGUGAGGUAAAGGCUCACCAAGGCGAUGAUACAUAGCCGACCUGAGAGGGUGAUCGGCCACAUUGGGACUGAGACACGGCCCAAACUCCUACGGGAGGCAGCAGUAGGGAAUCUUUGGCAAUGGACGAAAGUCUGACCGAGCAACGCCGCGUGAGUGAAGAAGGUUUUCGGAUCGUAAAACUCUGUUGGUAGAGAAGAACGUUGGUGAGAGUGGAAAGCUCAUCAAGUGACGGUAACUACCCAGAAAGGGACGGCUAACUACGUGCCAGCAGCCGCGGUAAUACGUAGGUCCCGAGCGUUGUCCGGAUUUAUUGGGCGUAAAGGGAGCGCAGGCGGGAAGGUAAGUCGGUCUUAAAAGUGCGGGGCUCAACCCCGUGAUGGGAUCGAAACUAUCUUUCUUGAGUGCAGGAGAGGAAAGUGGAAUUCCUAGUGUAGCGGUGAAAUGCGUAGAUAUUAGGAGGAACACCAGUGGCGAAGGCGACUUUCUGGACUGUAACUGACGCUGAGGCUCGAAAGCCAGGGGAGCGAACGGGAUUAGAUACCCCGGUAGUCCUGGCCGUAAACGAUGAAUACUAGGUGUGGGGAAGGUAUCGACCCCUUCCGUGCCGGAGUUAACGCAAUAAGUAUUCCGCCUGGGGGAGUACGGUCGCAAGACUGAAACUCAAAGGAAUUGACGGGGGCCCGCACAGCGGUGGAGUAUUUGGGGUUUAAUUU